Callithrix jacchus (white-tufted-ear marmoset) is the source of this 212-nucleotide long non-coding RNA. RefSeq lists it as uncharacterized. NCBI's taxonomy places the organism in Eukaryota, Metazoa, Chordata, Mammalia, Primates, Cebidae. The record is from RefSeq and is a predicted model, not a curated record.
AGGAGUAGCUUUCUGUGAAGCAGUAUUGCCUCCUGACAGCAGUGUAUUUUCACAGAAGAAAUGCACUGCUAGAAUUUUCGCCUGCUCACCUCCCGCUGAAAGAGGGACUGCAGCAGAACCUCUGACUACCGAUUCUUCUAAGAUCCUGAAUGGCAAGUUCCUGUCUUGGGCAGCAAAGAGCCUCAGGACUAACAGAGCCUGAAUUAUAGUAA